UGCCUCGAAUCGUUAUAAAUAUAAACAAAUGAGCUAUUUAUUUGUCAGAAAUCGCUCCGCGUUGAUCGAUCAUUUCCCGGGUAUUUUCCGAUUGAGAGAUGUAUCAGAUGUUUCUCUUGCAUUAUUAAUUAACAGAGCGGCGUAUUGUACUUUAUAUGUGCGUAACAACGUGAAAAGCAAUUUUCAUAAAAUGCAUAAAUAUCGAAUUUUAACGAUAUUAUCCGGUCAUAAAAUAAAAUCACCUGCAUCAUAUUGGUAUUUAUUGCGUUACAUGUAGAAAACACUAUGAACUAAUUUAAAAGUAACCUCAGAAUUUUGAAUUUAUACGUAAAAAAAAAAAAAAAAAAAUUGUCGGUUCUACAUUCCACAAAUUAAACAUACGUACGUGCAUUUAUUAUUAACUCAUUUUACAAAUCGCAAUCGGAGAGGUAAAACUUGACCUCCCCUCCAUUCCCGCGCGGCAUUCAGCUUUGUUUGCCUGCCUGCCUGCUUGGAGGGAAGAAAUUAGUCGCGAGAUUACUUACUUGCACGAUGUACGCGUGCGUCGUCGCGUUGCUCUGCUAAUGUAAUCCCAGCUAUAAAUCCAAUUUGAGAGAUUUACAAUGUGGGAUCGGCGAGAAUCGUCGUUCCUCGGCGAUAAGUUAUCUAUUCUAAUGAGAGUAAUCCCGCGAUGGCUCGCGCCAGGUUUCUCGAGGUAACGACACAGCGAGGAGUCACGCGAGACGUACAUACGUCGCAAACUCCUCUCCACGCAAACUCCCUCCGCCUCUCCUCUCGCCUCCUUUUAACGACCGUGAAAUAUUAUUAUUUAUUGAACGCUUUCGCAACGUGGUCGCGCGUGACGCCGCCGCGCGCGCGAGUAACGAAUAGCAACUCGAUUCGUCGUCUUUCACGGCCACGCUCGCUUAAAUUCGAUCACGGUGGUCUCUUUAGCAGCAUUAAAUCGGCCCGAACGCGCCGAGGCCGACGAACGCUCUCCCCUAAAUGUGAAACCCCGGUUGGCGGGAAUAAUAUUCGAUCGGGAGCGAAAAAUGCUCGGACCGGAACUGCGGUUGAAGUGCAUUUAAUGAAAUUAUUUCGCGACCCAGAUUCCGAUUCCUUAAAAUUGAAAGGACGUACUUUAAAAGCGGCAAUAGCCAUUUAUUGUAUUGAAUAUGUGCACUCUUCAUUAAAUUUAUGACGAGAGAAUUUAAAAUUGAAAUUUGGCUGUAUUGCAGUUUUGCAUCAGAAGUACACGAUUCGAAAUUGAAAAUGUCCACGUGAUUGACAUUGAUUUAAAAAAAUUGUUCCUUUAAAAACAAAAAAAAAAAAAAAAUUCUAAAAUAAUUUUCCUUGAAGCUCUCUCUCCGAUUGGUGCUACAAUCGAUUCAGCAAUUAUUAUAACUUGAAUCAGAUAUAAAGAUUUAAAAUUUUACUUUGUAAAGGCCGGCAAAAAAGAAUGAAAAUCAAUCUCAAAGACGUAGAGACGAAUAAAUAUUAAGAUUGAAAGUUCCACCGUGAGCAUUUUAUAUAGCACGAAUUUGUAAAUUGUUCGUAUAAGUUCCAAUCGAGAGGAUCUACGAUCUCGAAACCGCGUUGGCUGAUAGAUCGAUUCUAUACGAUCGGUAGCGCUCUCCGAACGGGAGAGAAACGUCCGAGUUCUGGAAAUGUUUCGCGAAAACAUAUUUCCCCGUUCCCUUACUUUAUCUUUUUGGGUAUCUUUGCGAGAGUCAAUGGUCCACUUGACGGUGAUUCAUCGUCGCCGUUCUUUUGUGUUACCCGCAGGAGGGAGAUAAGAAACAAAGGGAGAAAAAGCGAAAUAAGAGAAUCGCGUUGACAGGAGGUUAGCCGAAUUCCCGGCGAAAAUUCCGACUUUGCUCUCCUUCGGCGAGUUUCCCCGGAGGAAUCGCGAGUACGUCGUGGAAAAGGGAAUAGGUAAAUAACGAUGCGGUCCCGUUGACGACGGGCACUUCGUUGACACUUUGACUACCGCGUAGCAAUCGCAGCAGUGGAGUAACAGAUGACUACGGGCAACCUUUUUGUAAUAACUGAGUACAGAACAAAGUUGAUACGUCUGUCCGUAACACAGACCUGUACUUUCUUCUCGGUGCUUCAGAGACAAUGCAUUUACUCAUUUACAUAGCGUUAUUACAAUUACUCGAGAAUUUGUAUUUGUAAGACACGUUUUCAUUUUCUACGCGUAUUCCUUUCGUUAUACGUUUGCGUUUCUUUUUUUUAAAGAAUUCUUAAUUCUUUUUUUUUUAGUUAAUUUUUAGAAUAGUUGAUUUUUUUUAAAGAAUUUUUAGUCGAAUGAAUGAAUGAAGACGUAAAAUAAAAUCAUAAAAUCGUCAGAAAAUAGAAUCGUAGAAUUCGCAGCCGUGUUUUACAGAGGCACGCAGAUUUUAAUAGAAAGAUUCGUCAUUCGUAUUUAUACAGUGCGUCAGGUAAUAUAGUUUUACGGGCAAGGCCUUCGUUUCCAUGAAAGCAGCAGCGGGGCCACAUUAUCGCCGGGUUUGCAUUUCCGUUUCCGUAUCGACGGCCGUUUCUUAUCGCACGAAUUUUCAGCUUUGUUUUUUUUUUUUUUAUGCGCCAACCGGUGAAUGUAAUCGCGUGACAAAGUGGCUCUCUCCCUGUAAAUGGAAUUUUCUGGAAGAAUUGCUACUUUUCUAUGCAGGGGACGACGGAAAUUGGGAUUGCACUCACCGUCGCGGAAAGGCAACAUCUCCGCGAGUUCAUGUAUACAUAAAUUAUUGUGGAUUUUGUAUAAUUAUUGUUGCUAUGCAUGAAACAAUAACUUCUAUAUUAAUUGUCUUUUUUUUUACUUAUUCGAUCUUGCAGCACUGCAACGACAUUCGUUCUACUUUAAACGAUCUAUAUAAUUUGCGUCAGAACUAUAAAGAUAUAAUUCUAUUUAUAAUUUUGUGCGUCAUGCAGAGUGAACAUUGAAGAGCUUGCAUUUGAAAAAUUGGAAUGUAAGUAUGUAGAUGAAAUUUAUAUAUAUGUAUCUUCCAGCACACAGCGUACAUCAAAAAUACAUGGUAUAUAUUAUACAAGUGGAAUUUUAUUCCGAGACCUAAAGCGAAUUAUAAGUUGGUCUAAAUCAAACUUCAGAAAACGCGAAAGAGAGGAAAUAAUUUUCAAUUCAACCUCGGCAGCGCGAGUCUUCCGUCCUGUUUUCUCGAGUCGACGCGAAUCGCGCGCGACUUGCGCAAACACAAUGGCGCCACGUUGUAAACGUUAACAAUCGUAAACUGUACGAAGAUUUACAGCGCGCUGAGAUUACGUCGUCGCGAUAUUUGCGGUCGUCGUUACAAUUUGUCCUAUUACUUUUGUUGUACUCUUGUACCACGGGAGACGGGCGGGACCGGAAAUGCGUCCUCCUCCGGAAAGCGUUCCGACGAAAUCCUGCGGGAUGCUUUCGGAAGAGUGGUCCUUCUCUCUAGCUGUUGUUGGUGUACUGUUACGUCGUGGCGGAAAGUUUAGGUCGUAAAACAGGAUACCCGUGUCGUUUUAUCGUGCUCGUAAAGAGCCCGCAUCGUUCCGCAAUGAUUGUCAAAAUCAUUAACCAUCUUGUCGAAAACUAGAGAAUAAGGUUAAUACUUUCUAUUAAUUUAAGAGAAGGGAUUGACGAAAAGUUGAAUAAAGAGGUUUAUCUGUUCGGUAAAGUUUUCGCAUAUAUUUUUGUACGCUGCGCUUUUUAAAUAUGCAUUUUACAUAUUUCUCUCUAAAGGUGCACUAUUCGCAAGUUCUUAAUCUUUGUUUCUUUUUUUACAAUGAUUUUCCAUCUUUUUACACUUUCAAAGUUCUUAAGUUUCCACACAAUUUACGGAUGAAAUAUGACAUAUUUGUAUAUAACUAUAGUGAAGUCUACAUCCACUUUCGUAAUCAUAUCUCUUAUAUCAUAGACUCUCCUGAUAAUAAUUAAUCCACGUAUAUUUCUCCUGAUAAUAAUUAAUCCACUAUAUAUUAUAAUUCUAUUAACAAAAUUUGUACGGUUAUCCUCUCACAGUUGCCACAAAAUACAUUAUUUUUACACUGAAAGAAAAAAUUUGUAGUGGUGGCAACUGUAAGGGGACAACCGUACAAAUUUUGUUAAUAGAAUUAUAAUAUAUAGUUAAGUGAACUAUAUUAUAGUUAUAUUAUUACUAUAUUGGCAUAUUACAACUAUUUUUUAUUAGUUCUCUUAAUCAUUAACUUGGUUGUAAUAAUGAAGUUUGCUUAACUAUAUAUUAUAAUUUUAUUAACAAAGUAUGGCUGUGCUUUUACAGUUGCCAUCGCUACAAUAUUUUCUCCCAGAAUAAAUCAGAGAAAUUCGUCAGUUUUCUUUUUUGCUGCUGAAAGUUCUGAUUUACGUUCCUAUGUAUUUCAGAAACUUUUUAAUCAUUUCAAUUUUAUCGGAAAACGCGAUGGUGGUUAUUGUACCAAAGUACCAAAGGAAACGUCCGGUGCAUACUAAGGCAAUUAACGUAUCGUUAAUACCGCGGAUUUACAGUCGCCUAUAUUACGCUUCGUUCGUUUGCCGGCCACUUGUAAUGUUGCGCCAGCACAUAUAUAUUCUCCUAUCACAAGCGCAUAAAAUCUAAUACACGAGCAGUCAUGCUUGUCGACGACGUAUUUCACGGGGACAAGUAUUAAUCUCGGAGCUACACGGGUUUUGUCAGUAAAAAAAACAAAAUUGUAUCGGUUUGCGUCAUAACUUUCCGCAUAUUUCCCUUUUUGUUCAACGCUUAUUCACGAAAAAAUUGUGGUUUUUACACAAAUCAUUAUUUCUUCUUCUUCUUCUUCUUAUUAUUAAAAUAUAAGAAAUGUAUGAAUUUGUUGUGACAAUAACGGCUUAAUAAAGUGGGACGCCUAAAUAAUGUCGAGUGCCUUUCGGCGCGCGAACGUCGCGUUGCGCCGGCUGUUUGCGCGCGCGGGUAUAUUUGCGGAGAUAGCGGUUAUCUCCGCCAAAUACGUCUCCGCAAUAUCUCGCUCCUCCCGAGCGGAGAGUAAUUACGAUCGAUGCGGGAAUCAGUGGGGGCUCGUGCGUAACGAAUUUCGCGAGCGCGUUAGACUCGAAGACACUUUCGCGGGAAUGGAGAUCCGCGAGAGAUCCAAAAGUUUGCCAAGUUUCCUCUCGUAAGAGCAAAUCUGGAAAAAGUUUCGUUUUUCAUAUCGCACGAUCUCUGGGGUAUCUUUGAAUGGUCUCCGACCAGUUAAUUAAAUUUGAUCGCUAUGCACUGGCGUGGUGGAUAAUUCUUAAAAAAAGCUCCGAUAUACCGGCGCACACAUAUCGAAUCACGUUUUAGCAAAAAAUUAUUUCUUUUAACGUUCGCAAUCGUGCGGUAUGCUAAUGUCUCCCUGGCGCUGAACAAAUUUCGAACGUGUCGAAAAUUUUGUGCGCGCGCGCGAACGUGAGAAUUUUUAUCGGCGAACGCGAAAAUCAGAUUCACAAGUAGAAAUUCCAUUAAAGCUCGUAUUUGCUCUCGGAUAUCGCUGACGAUCGGAUACUUCAGCUCUCUCUCCAGCUUGGUAAUUCUACAAAGCGGGCAGGCAACGAGAGAUGAUAUCAAGAUCGAGUUCUCAGGGAUCAUCUGCUGUCGAAGAGAGAGAGAGAGAAAGGGGAGUAGGGAAUAUUGUAUUUUGUUACCAGAUGUUUACUAUUGUAUGUUCAGGAAGUGUAAAGACUGGGAAUUCUGAGAGGGGCAGAUUGUUAUUUUAGGCUAAAUCAUAAUGAAUUUAUGAAAUUGCACAAGGAAUGGACGUUUGAUAUAAUAUUAAUGUUUAGCAAGAACCCGGGCAAGUUAAAUAUGUUUAACACAAAUGAAACAAUUGCAAUUUAAUUAAAUAUUGAUCAAUUUUUUAAAUUUACAUUUUUGAUUAUUUAAUUUAUAUUUGAUGAUACAAGCGAAGAUCCAAAAAGAAUAAAAUGUUUGAAACAUUCCAAUGGAAACUUUUACCAUUCCUAUGCGCUCUCUCUCUCUCUCUUUCUCUUUCUCUUUCAAGAAUUGCUUUAUGAAAUUGAAGUGUAUACUUAUAUUUACUUUUCAUCUUCUUUAUUUGAUAUUUAUGUACAUAUUUAUUUAUAUAAUCGUGUUUUGUCGAAGUAAAAUUGUAUGUAUGUAAACAUUUUCUAUAAAAAUUAAUGCACCUUGAAAGAGUUUGAGUAUGAUUGACCUACGGCCACCAUAUUCUUCCAAGAAUUAAUGUAUUCGUCUUUCAGCUUCAAGUACUGUGUCGCAUCGCGCUGGCAUUUGUCCAAAACCGUUCAACGUCCGUUCCGACAAUCUCAUUCUCGGUAUUGGCAUUUUUUUCUCGCUUCGCUGCGAAAGAAGCUCGUUUCGAUCUCAAAGGAGUGCCGUGCAACCUCAGGAAUUCUCGUCGCAAUUCGCUGCAGUUGAAUGAAGCACUUGAAAUAUCCACAAAGCACUCUCAUUGGUAUCGAUCGAACGGACAGAAUAAUUUUGUAUUUCUUAAUGCAGGGGCAUUGUGUUGGGAGCAGUUUCGUUAUUAUCGACAUUUUUAUGAUGACCUCAUCUCAGAGAAUCAAUUCUUCUUCGAGAAAAAUUGUUCAUCUUUAGAAUAUCUCGUGCUCGCGCACGCGUGUUGUUUGCUGAAAUUAAAAUCAUUUAUAAUUACUGCUAUAGCUUUUAAUCCAUUAUUCAUAAUUUUCGAUUGGUUAUCGUCCACAAAUUAGAAUUGUUGAUAAUUGCGAUCGCGAAUAACCAUUAUUUUCAUUUAAUAUUUACAAUCUGUUAAUGUAUCUUGGCGAGUUUACUCACCUCGAGCCCAUUCGUCCCUCCGGAUCUUCCCGGCACUCUAUUGACGCGUGUGAGACAGAAGGUCUAAUAAUACCGCCGUUAUUAAACUCAGUUGCAAACGAGAAGUGGAAUUGCAACGGCUGUCUAGCGCAAAAACAAAUUAGAAAUCGAUUGCUCCGAGGGAGAAUUACGAUGCCUGCAAUAUGGACGGCGUAAAAUCACGAUGAUUGAUAAAUAAAUUACGUCGCUUUUAAUCAUUCGGAGAACUCGUACAAUUAUUUCAUUAAGCAAAAUCAACUUUGCCGGUAUCGAUUGACGUGACAUCUAUAUUGCAAAUUAAAAGAAACAAUUUAGAAUUAAUCGUACCGAUUUGUUGCCAAUUAUUAUUUUUUUCCCUUUUCGCUGCAAUAUAUUAAUUUCCUACGCGAUAUUAAUUUCUCGUUUCUUAUCUUAUUUAGCUGUAUUCCCUCGUUUAGAGCCUCAGCUUCCUUCGAAAUCCAAAGUUAGUGUUGUUGAGAGUAUUAUUAAUCUUUUUUUUUUUUAACAAAUAAAAAGGCGAGUUUUUUUAUUUUGCAUUUCCGUUUUUUUGGAUCAUUACAAUAGAUUCUACUACUGUUGUCCUUUGCAAUAUCUAUCCGAGAGCUAAUUGCGUAGCUAAUUCCGAGUUGUCAGCAUAUAUUUUCUGUAUUUUUAAUGUAAACGCAUUUUUCCGCAUAAAAACAGAACAAACGGAGAAUUUUAAUGCCACGCAACCGAACUCGGAUAAACGCUAUGUGCUAUUCGUAAAAACAAAAGCUUCGUUCUCUGUCGCUAUCAGUUCUCUUUUUUUUCUCGCCGAGGAACGACCCUAUCAAAUUUCAGUAUAUGCUCGUUGAUAAAUUCUAAGCGUUGUCAUCGUUCAUUCGAGACUGUUUAAAAUUGAGUAAUCGCGCCACACGACGAUUCGGCACGUGCUCGUUGAGCUUCGGUAAAGAUAUAUUUAUAUAUAUAGCAUCUUGCAUCAUUAAUAUUAGAGAUAAUUGGCUGUUAAAAUACGAAGGAAGUUUGGAACUUAGAUUGAUAACGGACUUAACGAUGGGCUCGAAUCUUUGAAAAGAACUUAAGGAAUUUUAACUUUUCUAAUUGGACGCCGAUAAGAUUGGAACAAAAAUUUUACCUGUGUCACGAGAAACUUAUUUCUUUACGCGCGACAUAUAUUUUGCAAUAUUUAUUAUAUAAGUUAAAUUAUUUUUACGUAUUCUUAUAUUUGCAUUUCCGCGUUUUGUCGACUGGUCGGUACUUAAUUUGAAUGAUUUGAAAUUCGGAUGCACUAAACUCGCUAGUUCGUUAGUGGUUUUUUCCGAGUCGUGUGUGUUUGUCUCUUUUUUUUUUGUUCAAUUAUAAAACGCGAGCGCUAACGUUAACGCGUUACACGCAUUCGCGGUAUUUUCACGCAGCGUGGUUAAUUGUUUUAUUAAGGCAAUUGCCAGAACUAUUCGGAAAUGGUGUGUCGGUUGGUUUCCAUUUCGCAGCUCGUUUAUCGUGCCCGCCAUCAAAGGAUAAUCCGUUUUUAGAAAAGGAAACUAUCAUUUAGUAAUUGCUCUAUAAAUGAUUGAUCCAUUCCAGUAAAUUAAAUUAUUUGCAAUAUUUGUCGUCAAUUUUUUCCCGAAAAGAACGUCGAGUUAUAUUUUUAUAUUAUAAUAUGAAUUAAUUUGCGGAUAUUAAUAAUUUUUAAUCUAAAUUUAAAUAAUUUCUCACGUGCAUGUAAUAAUUGUUGAAUAGUGAUUUAUUUUGUAAAAGGAUUUUUCUUUGGAAAAUCGAUACCGUGGUUUUGUUCUUUACGAAAGUUAGAAUUCACUUUUUUCUGAAAAAAUUGCAAAACGUAUCGAAAAAUUGUUCCUGAAUAAAAUAUGAAUAAAAUCAUUCCCGAGUUAUGGAAGAACAAAAAUAUUUACAAUACUUCGCAAAUAUACUGUAGAAUUUUGAAUUUAAUUAGUGUUAUUACAAAAUUGUACAUACACACAAUGCCGUGAAAUUCCCUUGCGGCAUCUGUGUGAAAGCGCUCAGGGAAAGCGCAUUUUUCGACGCAUUCCGCUGCGCAAGCUUCUCUCCGCAAGGUUAGUAGCAAUUAGCGUACAAAUGGUUGCUCGUCGUUAAAUACCACCGGUCGUUGUCAUCAUGUAGUUAUCCGAGCAACGGCGGCGAAAUGACAGCUCGCGUGGAACGGUUGGCAGAAGCGCGCGAGAAACGAGACGGGAAGACGUUAAACGGAGCUCUCUAGACGCCGUCGCGCGUGAGGGAUGAGGAAUGCCUCGGGAUUUACCGUUUUCCACCUCCGAUUCCGAGAUUUCAUCUCGGACGUUUUCCGCAUACGUCUCCCUUGCGGUGAAGUCCACACGCGUUUCGAAUCUAAUGCAUUAAUGUGAAAAUUGUGACACCCACAUGCGAUCGACGUGAUCCAAAUUGAUGAGAGAGAUCAAGAGCGAGGGCGGAAAAUAAGUUUCUUAUUUCUUGAAUUUAUUUUUCAGUCCAUUCCGAGUUGCAAAAAAAAAAUAGCUUUUGUUCUCCCCAGCGUCAAGAAUUUAAUUAUUAUAACUUGACUUUUUGUAAUUUUAUUUUAAACUAUUAUUUCGACGCCUACCAAUUUAUUCCUUAAUUAUUGAUUUAUCGAACCUAAUUACUUGCGUUACACUCGCGUUUCUUUGAACCUUUCGAACUUUUUCUCUUAAGAAUCGUUUGAAAUUUGUAAACGCAGAGCAGUGUUCUCGUCUUUGCUAGAAAUUACUUUAAAUUUAGACUGAACAUUUUUUCCUCCUUACAAAGAUUUCACAUUAAAUCUAGGCAGCAUACGUCAGUAUACUUGUUUCACAGAUGAAAAUACACUUUCAAUUAGGGUUAGUUGUACUGCUAAUUAAUCCGCGAAUUCCAACGUGCUGUUCCAUCUCUCGCAUUCCUUCGACGUCAAAUCCGGAAACUAUCGAUAUACUCAGACUCCUGUAGCAAAUGAUGCAAUCUUGUCGCACACACACUAUGCGAGCUAUCGUGCUUCAGAGAGAGAGAGAGAGAGAGAGAGAGAGAGACAGAGAGAGAGAGAGAGAGAGGGAGAGAGAGCGCUGAAGAAAAAGCUCCGGGGCUCGUGCUCUCCUCUCUCGUGCUGUACACAAUUUAAUCGCUGCAAUAACGACGCCAGACGGCCGACGAAUAUCGCGCGAUAUCAAGCGGAAACUUUACUUUCGUACUGAUAUAGAUAAAAAUCGUGAAGUGUGUAAUACUUUUCUUCGCGAAGCUGAACGAACAUUUGAAGAAGUUUUAUAAGGAAAAGAAAAAAAUGAUACAUAGGAACGCAAAUUUGUAUGGCUCGUGCACACUCGGAAGGAUGCAAAUGAUAUAUUUUGUGAUAAAUCGAUUAAUGAAAUAAUACGCGUAAUUUCUAAAGCGUCGUUACACUUUUUUUACACAGAGUUUCGAAGGCUCUCGAUCGAUUUCCUGAAACGCUGCGUGGAAAAUGUACGUCCACAAGCGUCUCGUACAUUCAUUGUUACGUCAACAAGGGAAACGAGAACGAGGCCCAAACUGCCUCUCCAGUUAAUUAAUAAUAACGCGAGUUAAUUAAUUUCAAAAUAGUUGCCGCGGAGAAUCCGACGACGAAUUCCAAACGUAAAUAACAUUGUCAUCGUCGUGCACGACGCGUCUACAGCCGUUACACAACGCGCGCAGACGUGGAAUAGAGGCGAUAAUCUAGUCAGGCGUGUAGCCUGCCAAUCGUGGAACACGCGGCCCGAACGAAUCUAUUCGGUUAUGCAAUUGAAGGCAGGCGGGCGGAAUGCAAUUCGUGCGAAUGCAACGCACGUCGCCCGCACGCGCGCGCGCGCGCGCGCGUACGUGUGUGUAUGUACGUAAGGCAGCGUUGCGUUAUUACGUGGCCACGAUGUUAUGUGUUUACAGGCACGUUGCCGGCGUAAUGCGCGUCGUCGCGCGAUUUCCGUAGGUGCACGAACCGCAGACCGCCGUUAAUGGGGAAUCGCGAAUGGAGCAGCGGCUUAAUUACCAUCGCCAAGAAACUUGCGCGGCACGCGUUGCUGCACGCGCGUUCCGCGCGAUGCGAAAUUUUUGCGCGAAACUCCCGCGCGCCCGACAGGGAAUCGUCGAGCGUUAAUUAUCAACCGGCAGAUUGUCGCCAGUUAGAAGCGCGGUGUUCUUAACUAGCUAGUAAAUUUCUACCCUUUCGGCGCUCAUUUUCGUUAUUUUGUACCCGUCCGUCUUUGACGCUUCAAUCUCGAUUCUCAAUUAAUUCUCUUUCAUGCCCGCUGAUCAUGCCAGCUACCUAAUAAUUCCAUCCUGAAUAUUAAAUUUUGUCCUUUCUUCUCAAAUACUGUAUCGUCGAUUUUUUUUUUUUUUAUUCGUCGCUUAUUGACGCGCGCGCAAUUAUUUCCGCUAAAGAUCUUUCGAUAGAUCUCGCCAUGCAAAAUAAAUCUGUAAUUUUAUUAUUGCGACUCUUUAUCGCCGAGCCAAUCUAUCGAAUCCGGACUUUCGAAUACAUCGCGUCGCAUUGUGUUUCCAUCGCAACUGUUUUGCAGCGCAAAUGUUUAUUCGAACGCGGAUACACGAUUUCUCUCGGAUAUAUAAUUUCUAUAAAUUCACGCGUGCACGCGCAGACAUCGUACACGAGAACAUAUACUAAAAUCCGUAUCCGGGCCAGAUACGGUGAUCAAAAAUGAUGGAUCCGAAUUUUUUUUCUCACCAUCGAAAUUCGUUUCCUGCGCGUGCGCGAUUACACCGUACGGUACGAUUUCACAAAUCCGGGAUUUUUUUUUUUUUUUUCAAAAUGCGAUCAAACACGUUCCAAGCGAACGCCGACAGAUAGAGGAGCCCCGACGAUCGAAAGCCGAUAUGCUCCUUUUGACGCAGCGUCAUGGAAGCGGGAUGGGAGCGGGACGCGCGAGAAAAGUGUUAAAAAACAGGAUACGAUUGACGCGCGUGCAAUCGAACAAACGCUUUAUUUUUAUUCCACGUAUCCUGAACCGCAGUUUCAAUAGGUACAAUGCAUUAUAAGCGAGCCGUGUACUUUCGAUGGAUUGCCACUUUUUUUUUCUUGUAAGCUUGAAUCUACGGCAAAAGAAUUACGAAACUGUUGUUCUUUUCAUAGCUGCUCAAAGUUUCGCAAAAAUUUGACAUUGGACAAACCAAAAGAUUAAAUAUUGCAUACAGUGUCCAAUUAAAAUUAAUAUCUGAAUGUUUUCAAAAGUUGUAAGUAAAAGCGCAAGUUACUAAAUUAUAAAUACAUUCUGUUUAUCGUUUUUUCGUCUUAUAAGAAUACUCGUAAAAUAUAAGAUCUGAAUUUUUACGCAGAAAGAACUAUUUUGCUAAAAUGAUUGCUGGGCGCAAAGAAUCCGUUGUAUCUUUCAUGUUUAAUUUUUUUAAAACGCGAUACGAAAUGCGACGUAAGAUGCGACUUUUUUUACGGCUCGUAUCUCGCUGAAUAAUUGCGGCGUCACGUUGCAAAAUAUAACGAGUUGCUCCGCAGAUGCGAUGUCGAAUUAUUUUAGACUCACCCUCGAAUGCGUCGUUGCGAAAAGCGAGGCUCUCCCUCCUUUUUUUUUUUUUUUUUUUUUUUGAAAGACUUUCUGGGCCCUCGGUGAAAUUACACGAUCGUGGCUGGCGGCUGGCGUUAGUUUUCGCUCGAAGUGCAUCGCGAAGUACACGCCAGCUCGAGUGCCACCCCUUAAAAUGCACUCGAAACGGCGUCGCGGUGGCGCAAGAUGUUACAUACCACCAUCGUCGCGUCGCGUACCCGUCGUGGCAUCCCCCACGACGAGGGAAGCAUCCCUCAAAGUGAGAGAGGACACUCGUGGUUUUCCUGACCCUCCGGUGAAGGGCUGAAAGUAGGAUAAGGGCUGAGCCUGGAUGAGAGCAUCCAAACAAAGAAAUCGACGCCCGUGCACGGCAAGAGCCUUUCGCACUGGCAGAUCACGAUCCCGCGCGCUCUCGGAUGGCUGCUUCAAAGCUGCUUCCUUUUUUGAAUCCUUUUUUGAAUUGUUAUAAAAGUCCGGGGUUCUGAAACGAAUCUCCGUGUAGUCUUUAUUAAUUUAAAAUAAAUAUUUGAAAGAUGUAUUUUAGAAAGUAUUUUUAAAUAAUUCGACUUGUGAGAAUUGCUAGAAUUGAAGAAAGUGAUAUUCUGAAAUGAUUUUAUGCGACAGCGUGGUGCUUUUUCAAAGUUAAUAAUUUGUCCCUUUCGGAAUAUUAUUUUUUGAUUAUUUAGAAAAAUAAUAACAAUGAAGUUCUGUAAAAUUAUGAGGCUAUUUUUAUUUGAUUUUUUUUUCAAUUCUAUUGAAUUGUUUUACUUUAAAUCCAACGAAAUGAUAUUUAAAGUCAUGAUCAAAAGGGACGUGGGCCUUUUCAUCUUCUCGACGGAUACCGGUAAACGCAUCCCCCGCCCUCGUAAUUAUUUAAUCUUUUUCCGCGUUCCGUCGACGCUCGCUUCCGUCUUCUUCCGACCCCUCGAUAUUCCGAAGGGCGGGAAAUGAAUUUUGCAGGAAGCCUCGCAGUCACGUUAGGUGUCUCUUCAUCCCCGGUGCGUCCCUAUUCCCGAUUCGAGAUCGAAUCAGGCGGAGUCGUUAGAGAAUCACGCGAUUCCGCGAGUCGUACAUCCGGCAAAUAAAAGGCUCGACCGAAGGAUUUCUCCGGGAAGUUCGAUCGAUCGAUCGAUAGAUCCUUCGUAUCGUGAUCGCUCUCACCCUCGCUGCGAAUCCCUUCGUGAAACCGACGGAAAAUUGCAAUUCAGUGAAUCAGUUAAAUAUAAUGUAGAAUCUCGUACUUCGAAGGAAAUUAUUAUGCAUUCGAAUGAAAGCGCUGGAAAUCCCUCGAAUUAUGGUAAAUUAAUAAUUAAAUGGUUUUUUGCAAGAAUAAAAGAGAUUGUCCCUAUAAAUUUGUAAUGCAUAAGCAUUAUCUUUUACAUUUAUUUUAUAAUUAUAAAGGUAUUUAUAGUAUUAAUUAUUGAAUGAAUAUAUUAAUUCAGUCAUUAAUGAAAUUAGUUUUUUUUAUAUUUUUACAUUUUAAAUCAUAAAAUUUAAUUUAAUUAUAAUUUGUCACUUAUAACGUUGAUCUGAAUAAAAUGUUAAUGAUUACAAUUCCUCGAGCAUUUCACAGAUUUUCCGAUUCAGGCUUCAUCAAAAUACAGAAUAACUUUCCGAGUCUAUUUUUAUAGAAAAAUCACACCACCCAAAGACGUGAUGUAAUGAACUUUUCUCAAAUACGUUAUUAAACAUCAGUUUCUUGCACACUGAAAAAAAUUGUAGUGGUGGCAACUAAGGGAACAACCAUGCAAGUUUUAUUAAUAUAAUAGCAUUAUAAUAUUAUAUAUAUUUAAGUGAAUUAUAUUAUAGUUAU
Solenopsis invicta (red fire ant) is the source of this 14084-nucleotide long non-coding RNA. RefSeq lists it as uncharacterized. The record is from RefSeq and is a predicted model, not a curated record. The transcript is spliced from 2 exons. Lineage: Eukaryota; Metazoa; Arthropoda; Insecta; Hymenoptera; Formicidae.